This 492-nucleotide ribosomal RNA is filed under the name uncultured bacterium. RNAcentral's name for it is "partial 16S ribosomal RNA". It matches the Rfam family "Bacterial small subunit ribosomal RNA", at positions 29 to 507 of the family's 1533-position model. The record is from RNAcentral.
AGUGAACGCUGGCGGUAGGCCUAACACAUGCAAGUCGAACGGCAGCACAGUAAGAGCUUGCUCUUACGGGUGGCGAGUGGCGGACGGGUGAGGAAUACAUCGGAAUCUACUUUUUCGUGGGGGAUAACGUAGGGAAACUUACGCUAAUACCGCAUACGACCUACGGGUGAAAGCAGGGGAUCUUCGGACCUUGCGCGAUUGAAUGAGCCGAUGUCGGAUUAGCUAGUUGGCGGGGUAAAGGCCCACCAAGGCGACGAUCCGUAGCUGGUCUGAGAGGAUGAUCGGCAACACUGGAACUGGGACACGGUCCAGACUCCUACGGGAGGCAGCAGUGGGGAAUAUUGGACAAUGGGCGCAAGCCUGAUCCAGCCAUACCGCGUGGGUGAAGAGGGCCUUCGGGUUGUAAAGCCCUUUUGUUGGGAAAGAAAAGCAGCAGGUUAAUACCCCGCUGUUCUGACGGUACCCAAAGAAUAAGCACCGGCUAACUUCGUG